GAUGAACGCUGGCGGCGUGCCUAAUACAUGCAAGUCGAGCGAACAGAUGAGGAGCUUGCUCCUCUGACGUUAGCGGCGGACGGGUGAGUAACACGUGGAUAACCUACCUAUAAGACUGGGAUAACUUCGGGAAACCGGAGCUAAUACCGGAUAAUAUAUUGAACCGCAUGGUUCAAUAGUGAAAGACGGUUUUGCUGUCACUUAUAGAUGGAUCCGCGCCGCAUUAGCUAGUUGGUAUGGUAACGGCUUACCAAGGCAACGAUGCGUAGCCGACCUGAGAGGGUGAUCGGCCACACUGGAACUGAGACACGGUCCAGACUCCUACGGGAGGCAGCAGUAGGGAAUCUUCCGCAAUGGGUGAAAGCCUGACGGAGCAACGCCGCGUGAGUGAUGAAGGUCUUCGGAUCGUAAAACUCUGUUAUUAGGGAAGAACAAAUGUGUAAGUAACUAUGCACGUCUUGACGGUACCUAAUCAGAAAGCCACGGCUAACUACGUG
RNAcentral lists this ribosomal RNA (497 nucleotides) under uncultured bacterium. RNAcentral describes it as "partial 16S ribosomal RNA". It matches the Rfam family "Bacterial small subunit ribosomal RNA", at positions 28 to 507 of the family's 1533-position model. The record is from RNAcentral.